GAAGUCUGGCAUUUCAUAAUCACCCAUCAUGAUUGACAUGGGCUGACACACAUGGCGCUGUCAGGAUACACAAGGACAAUAGCCAAAGAGUUACAAAAAAUAAAUCCAUGAUUCUUAAACAAUUGCAACCAAAAAAAAAAAAAUUAACAUCUCCUGGUUUUGCAGGUAUUUUUUUAAAGUGCAAAAUGUCUUUCUCAAUAUUGAAAAUCCAUUUGAGUACAUGGACAAUUUCACAUACCCAUGUAGAUUUGAGAAUAUCUAAUUUAGAGGGUAAAUAAAAAAUCAGAAUACAGUUUGCAAAACCAUUGUUUGCUUCAUGCAGGAAAUUCAUUAUGCAAAACAUUGCUAUAUAUGAUUCUGAUUACAGGUAAAGACAGAGAAUGUCUUCUAAAAUUGUGAUAUAGUGAAAGAAGCCAAGGGAAAAGGCAGGCAGUAAAAAUUGCUCCAGUUGGAAUUAGAUAUUCUGGACAAUACCACUAAAAAGGCAAGGUAGUUCAGGUUAGCCAAAUUUAAUUGAUAAUUCUUCUCAUUUUAUAUCUAGGGUCAGGCAUGGAUAUUGCAUUCUGCCAUCCUUUAUUAUAUAUAUGUUAAUCACAGUAACAAUUUUCAUUCAGUUUUCUUAGAAUCCUUUUUUUUCUUCUUGCUAGUUGAAAUACAGAAUUCAUAUAGUAUACUAUUCAUCUCCUCUCUUCAUGGGGAGGACCCAAAUAUUAUUUAUCACACCAAAUAAUUGAGUAAAACCAAGGCCCAUCUGGGAAAUUUCCAGUGUUUAAGGGCAAGUAGAAAAGGUACAUGGACAGCCGGGCGCAGUGGCUGACGCCGAGGCAGGUGGAUCACGAGGUCAAGAGAUCGAGACCAUCCUGGCAAACAUGGUGAAACCCUGUCUCUACUAAAUACAAAAAAUUAGCCAGGCAUGGUGGCACGUGUCUGUAAUCCCAGGUAUUUGGGAGGCUGAGAUAGGAGAAUUAUUUGAACCCAGGAGGCGGAGGUUGUGGUGAGCUGAGAAUGCAAAUGCGCCAUUGCACUCCAGCCUGGGCAAUAAGAGCGAGACUCCAUCUCAAGAAAAAAAAAAAAAAGAAAGAAAAAGAAAAGGUACAUGGAGUACAUGAAAUAAUAUAAUUUGAGAAUACAAAGGGCAAAUCAUUUUUAAAUGGAGACCAAGUCCUCACU
RNAcentral lists this long non-coding RNA (1170 nucleotides) under Callithrix jacchus (white-tufted-ear marmoset). RNAcentral's name for it is "lncRNA (ENSCJAG00000084497.1)". Lineage: Eukaryota; Metazoa; Chordata; Mammalia; Primates; Cebidae. The record is from RNAcentral.